Molecule: long non-coding RNA, 1588 nt
Organism: Juglans regia (Persian walnut)
Lineage: Eukaryota; Viridiplantae; Streptophyta; Magnoliopsida; Fagales; Juglandaceae
Exons: 3
Source: RefSeq, a predicted model, not a curated record
UCUUCGAUCCCCUAAAAUAUUACAGCCAUCCGUUUAUAACCAUAUAGAUUAGUAUACUUUAUUUCUAGCUAGUCUCCCUCCCUCCCAUAUGUAUGAAAUUUGUACACUGAUCGGAGGGGGGAUUCAGUUGAGAAUGUGUGUAUGCUGUAGGUGCGCAGACCCCAAUCUGUUAACGUAUUUGACAGGGCCCCUGGGGCAGUCAACGGCCACUAUGGCACAGAACGUCAACAUCUGGUCGGGAAUGGGGUGAUCGUUGCUUCCGCUCUUGGGGUGCGUUUCUGGCCGGCCGACUCCUUUCUCAGGUCUCUACCGCACCAUUGUCCUCUGCAUCCUGGAACCCCUCGCCCAUUGUGAUGACAAUCUUCAAUCUUGCGUUCAGGCAUUUGGGGGCGAUCAAUUUGAUGGACGAAUUAAAUCCCGAUCGAAGAGCUCAAAGCCGAAAGCUCAUUCUUGAAUUGUUGGUAUUUUGGUGGUUUAUCUGUCAGCGGCUUGGUAACACUUGCCAUCUUGAACUUUAUACAAGACAGCCUUUAUUCGAUCGGGGCGGGUGGGAAAGGAAUAUAAAAGACUCAAGGAGCUUCAAUUAGAAUUUUGAAAUAUUUAACCGUCCAGGACUUUCUCUCGUAGGACUCUAUGCACAUUUGGAUUUCUCUUCGCUAGGAGGGUUUCAUUUACCGUUAUAGAACAGAAUUCUUGGUCGUGAAGCAGAGCAAUCCAUGCUCCAUAAAGGAAGUCCAGUAAGAUUACUUGCUAAAAUAACUCAAGUCUCUGUCUCAACCCACCUUGCUAGAUUCCCAAGUAUUGGAUAACUUUUUCUAUUCACGCGGCUAAAGGGACAAAAUUAAAUUAGUUGCUUGUCUAGAUCAUCAUAACAGUAACUCAUCUCUAAUAGCGACUUGUAUUUCCUGAUACGGUAGGUUCCUCAACAAAGUUUUUCUUGCACCAGAUGGUAAUUCCAACGAAGGUGGGGAAGGUGUGUAGCAUCAGUGAGGUAUGGAUGACAAGCUUGGUGUAUGCUAUCGUGUUUGCACAGCCCCUGACUUUCUUUACAAAGCAAGGAGCUACGAUAUUGGAUAGAGCAAUUCCGCCAGCCGCUUCUCUUCAAUCCUUUAGCAGCCUUCCCCAUUGUUCUCCUUGUCCCAUAUAUGACUGCAUUUUUGUGCGGCGCCUAUAGCGAGAGCUUCCACCAGGAAACCCUGGCAUCACAGCGCUACAGAGAAUUGGAACCGGGAUGCUUUUAUUUCGACGGCAAUUGUAGCUCAAGUCGAGAUUACAAGGGUAAAAACUACUCAAGAAUAUGGGUUCGUUGAUUUUCUGUAGGUGAAGGUCCCCGAUGAUCAGCAUAUGGUGGCUGGUUCCUCAAUAUGUCUUGUUCGGGAUUUCUGAUGUUUACCCGAUGGUUGAUCCGCAAGAAUUUUCCAUGAUCAGGUCCCAAAUGAAUUGAGGAGUGUGGGGCUUGACCUGUCCCCUAGUAUCUUUGGGAGUGGGGGAGUUUUCUCAUCGAAGCAACUGGUAGGAAUAAUUGAACCACAUAAACUUUGUUCCGCGAUUGAUUUCACUUUUAAUUUUAAUUUUAAUUUUUAUCUUA